RNAcentral lists this small RNA (90 nucleotides) under Enterococcus mundtii. Its description in RNAcentral is "RNA anti-toxin A". The record is from RNAcentral. Lineage: Bacteria; Bacillati; Bacillota; Bacilli; Lactobacillales; Enterococcaceae.
UACUAUGAUUAACAAAAUGAGCUAUGCGCUAACAUAGCUCAUUUGUAGAACCGUUAAAAAGACGGUAGCUUUUAUUAGUUUGAUAUUCUA